CCUACGGGAGGCAGCAGUGAGGAAUAUUGGUCAAUGGGCGCGAGCCUGAACCAGCCAAGUAGCGUGAAGGAUGACUGCCCUACGGGUUGUAAACUUCUUUUAUAAAGGAAUACAGUGAGGCACGUGUGCCUUUUUGUAUGUACUUUAUGAAUAAGGAUCGGCUAACUCAGUGCCAGCAGCCGCGGUAAUACGGAGGAUACGAGCGUUAUCCGGAUUUAUUGGGUUUAAAGGGAGCGUAGAUGGGUUGUUAAGUCAGUUGUGAAAGUUUGCGGCUCAACCGUGAAAUUGCAAUUGAUACUGGCAGGCUUGAGUACAGUUGAGGUAGGCGGAAUUCGUGGUGUAGCGGUGAAAUGCUUAGAUAUCACGAAGAACUCCGAUUGCGAAGGCAGCUUACUAAACUGGCACUGACAUUGAUGCUCGAAAGUGUGGGUAGCAAACAGGAUUAGAUACCCUGGUAGUC
RNAcentral lists this ribosomal RNA (460 nucleotides) under uncultured bacterium. RNAcentral describes it as "partial 16S ribosomal RNA". It matches the Rfam family "Bacterial small subunit ribosomal RNA", at positions 338 to 795 of the family's 1533-position model. The record is from RNAcentral.